Molecule: ribosomal RNA, 301 nt
Filed under: uncultured bacterium
Lineage: Bacteria
Description: partial 16S ribosomal RNA
Rfam family: Bacterial small subunit ribosomal RNA
Source: RNAcentral
CAGCAGCCGCGGGAAUACGUAGGGUGCAAGCGUUAAUCGGAAUUACUGGGCGUAAAGCGUGCGCAGGCGGUUUUGUAAGACAGAGGUGAAAUCCCCGGGCUCAACCUGGGAACUGCCUUUGUGACUGCAAGGCUAGAGUACGGCAGAGGGGGAUGGAAUUCCGCGUGUAGCAGUGAAAUGCGUAGAUAUGCGGAGGAACACCGAUGGCGAAGGCAAUCCCCUGGGCCUGUACUGACGCUCAUGCACGAAAGCGUGGGGAGCAAACAGGAUUAGAUACCCCUGUAGUCCCUGUCUCUUAUAC